GCUGACGAGCGGCGGACGGGUGAGUAAUGCAUAGGAAUCUGCCCGGUAGUGGGGGAUAACCUGGGGAAACCCAGGCUAAUACCGCAUACGCCCUACGGGGGAAAGCAGGGGCUCUUCGGACCUUGCGCUAUCGGAUGAGCCUAUGUCGGAUUAGCUAGUUGGUAGGGUAAAGGCCUACCAAGGCGACGAUCCGUAGCUGGUCUGAGAGGAUGAUCAGCCACAUCGGGACUGAGACACGGCCCGAACUCCUACGGGAGGCAGCAGUGGGGAAUAUUGGACAAUGGGGGCAACCCUGAUCCAGCCAUGCCGCGUGUGUGAAGAAGGCCUUCGGGUUGUAAAGCACUUUCAGCGAGGAAGAAAGCCUGGUGGCCAAUACCCACCAGGAAGGACAUCACUCGCAGAAGAAGCACCGGCUAACUCCGUGCCAGCAGCCGCGGUAAUACGGAGGGUGCGAGCGUUAAUCGGAAUUACUGGGCGUAAAGCGCGCGUAGGUGGCUUGAUAAGCCGGUUGUGAAAGCCCUGGGCUCAACCUGGGAACGGCAUCCGGAACUGUCAGGCUAGAGUGCAGGAGAGGAAGGUAGAAUUCCCGGUGUAGCGGUGAAAUGCGUAGAGAUCGGGAGGAAUACCAGUGGCGAAGGCGGCCUUCUGGACUGACACUGACACUGAGGUGCGAAAGCGUGGGUAGCAAACAGGAUUAGAUACCCUGGUAGUCCACGCCGUAAACGAUGUCGACUAGCCGUUGGGUCCCUCGCGGACUUUGUGGCGCAGUUAACGCGAUAAGUCGACCGCCUGGGGAGUACGGCCGCAAGGUUAAAACUCAAAUGAAUUGACGGGGGCCCGCACAAGCGGUGGAGCAUGUGGUUUAAUUCGAUGCAACGCGAAGAACCUUACCUACCCUUGACAUCCUGCGAAC
This 913-nucleotide ribosomal RNA is filed under the name Billgrantia montanilacus. Its description in RNAcentral is "bacterial SSU rRNA". It matches the Rfam family "Bacterial small subunit ribosomal RNA", at positions 87 to 996 of the family's 1533-position model. Lineage: Bacteria; Pseudomonadati; Pseudomonadota; Gammaproteobacteria; Oceanospirillales; Halomonadaceae. The record is from RNAcentral.